This 778-nucleotide ribosomal RNA is filed under the name uncultured bacterium. Its description in RNAcentral is "partial 16S ribosomal RNA". It matches the Rfam family "Bacterial small subunit ribosomal RNA", at positions 8 to 772 of the family's 1533-position model. The record is from RNAcentral.
AGAGUUUGAUCCUGGCUCAGAUUGAACGCUAGCGGGAUGCUUUACACAUGCAAGUCGAACGGCAGCACGAGGAAGUUUACUUCUUUGGUGGCGAGUGGCGGACGGGUGAGUAAUGUAUCGGAACGUGCCCAGUAGUGGGGGAUAACUACGCGAAAGCGUAGCUAAUACCGCAUAUUCUCUUCGGAGGAAAGGGGGGGAUCAUUUGACCUCUCGCUAUUGGAGCGGCCGAUAUCAGAUUAGUUAGUUGGUGGGGUAACGGCCUACCAAGGCAGUGAUCUGUAGCUGGUUUGAGAGGACGACCAGCCACACUGGGACUGAGACACGGCCCAGACUCCUACGGGAGGCAGCAGUGGGGAAUUUUCGACAAUGGGGGAAACCCUGAUCGAGCCAUCCCGCGUGUGGGACGAAGGCCUUCGGGUUGUAAACCACUUUUCUUAGCGAAGAAAAGUCUUAGGCUAAUACCUUAAGACGCUGACGGUAGCUAAGGAAUAAGCAUCGGCUAACUACGUGCCAGCAGCCGCGGUAAUACGUAGGAUGCAAGCGUUUAUCGGAAUUACUGGGCGUAAAGGGUGCGCAGGCGGCUUGAAAAGAACGGUGUGAAAUCCCGGGGGCUCAACCCCGGAACUGCACUAUAAACUAUCAAGCUAAAGUAUGUCAAAGGGGGGUGGAAUUCCGCGUGUACCAGUGAAAUGCUUAAAUAGGCGGAGGAACCCCAUGGGGAAGGGCGCCCCCCGGGGGAUAUACUGAACCCCCAGGGCCAAAAGGGGGGGGUAACAAA